UUGGAAACGAUAGCUAAUACCGCAUAACAGUAUUUAUCGCAUGGUAAAUGCUUGAAAGGAGCAACUGCUUCACUAUGAGAUGGACCUGCGUUGUAUUAGCUAGUUGGUGGGGUAACGGCUCACCAAGGCAUCGAUACAUAGCCGACCUGAGAGGGUGAUCGGCCACAUUGGGACUGAGACACGGCCCAAACUCCUACGGGAGGCAGCAGUAGGGAAUCUUCGGCAAUGGACGAAAGUCUGACCGAGCAACGCCGCGUGAGUGAAGAAGGUUUUCGGAUCGUAAAACUCUGUUGUUAGAGAAGAACGUUGUGUAGAGUGGAAAAUUACACAAGUGACGGUAUCUAACCAGGAAGGGACGGCUAACUACGUGCCAGCAGCCGCGGUAAUACGUAGGUCCCGAGCGUUGUCCGGAUUUAUUGGGCGUAAAGCGAGCGCAGGUGGUUUAAUAAGUCUGAUGUAAAAGGCAGUGGCUCAACCAUUGUGUGCAUUGGAAACUGUUAGACUUGAGUGCAGUAGAGGAGAGUGGAAUUCCAUGUGUAGCGGUGAAAUGCGUAGAUAUAUGGAGGAACACCGGUGGCGAAAGCGGCUCUCUGGACUGUCACUGACACUGAGGCUCGAAAGCGUGGGUAGCAAACG
This 636-nucleotide ribosomal RNA is filed under the name uncultured Lactococcus sp. RNAcentral describes it as "bacterial SSU rRNA". It matches the Rfam family "Bacterial small subunit ribosomal RNA", at positions 150 to 774 of the family's 1533-position model. Lineage: Bacteria; Bacillati; Bacillota; Bacilli; Lactobacillales; Streptococcaceae. The record is from RNAcentral.